Long non-coding RNA from Ipomoea triloba (trilobed morning glory), 1649 nucleotides. RefSeq lists it as uncharacterized. NCBI's taxonomy places the organism in Eukaryota, Viridiplantae, Streptophyta, Magnoliopsida, Solanales, Convolvulaceae. The transcript is spliced from 5 exons. The record is from RefSeq and is a predicted model, not a curated record.
ACAUCGAGAAAAAUGUUUUUGAGAAUGUUUUUAAUACAGUAAUGAACAUUCAAGGUAAAACAAAAGACAAUGCGAAAGCAAGAGAAGAUUAGAAACUCUUUUGUAACAAAAAAGAGUUAGAAAAAAACAUUGCCACAGGUAAAUAUCCAAAAAGCCUGUUAUUCAUUAGACAAUAGGCAGAAACAAGUCUUAUGUGAAUGGGUGAAAAAUCUAAAAUUCCCAGAUGGUUAUGUGUCAAAUAUGGGAAGGUGUGUAGAUAUGAGCAAAUACAAGCUAUUUGGAAUGAAAAGUCAUGAUUGCCAUGUUUUCAUGCAAAGGUUGAUGCCAAUUGCAUUUCGAGAGAUGUUGCCAAUCAAGGUUUGGGAAGCAAUGACUGAAUUAAGCAUUUUCUUUAAAAGCUUAACUGCAAGAGUCAUUAAAGUUGAAGAAAUGACAAGAUUAGAAGAUGAAAUCUCAAUAAUUCUCUGUAAAUUAGAGAGCAUAUUUGUUCUGGGAUUUUUUGACUCAAUGGAGCAUCUUCCAAUACGUUUGCCAUAUGAGGCUAGGAUUGCUGGUCUUGUUCAAUAUCGUUGGAUGUAUGGGUUUGAGAGAUUGCUCCAUGAGUUGAAAAAAGAUGUGAAAAAUAAGGCCAAAGUGGAAGGGUCGAUUUGCAAUGCAUACUUAGUGCGUGAAGCAUCUAUAUUUUGUUUUCAUUAUUUCGAGCCACAUGUUUAAACACGUAGCCGAAAAGUACCUCCAAAUGGUUAUACAUGGGGACAUCUUAGUGUUGAUACAGUUGAAUUUUAUUGGGAGGAGUUCAAGAAAUCUUUUGAUUGGGAUGAUGCAAAAACAACUUUAGUGUAUAAUUCUUGGGAGAUGAAGGCUAAAAUAAGAUAUGCUGAUUACAUAAGCAUAUUAAGGAAAAAUCCAAGACAUGUCUAUAUCCCACCAAAAAUAUGGACAAAGUGGAAUGAAGUUUAGAAUUCUGAAGAGGGCAAGAAGAAAACAGAAUUGGCUAAGAAAAACAGACGUGGAGGAGUUUUAAAUUGAGUUGCUCAAUCUACCCAUACCACAGGGUCAACACCUCACAUAAAAGUUGCAGCUCAACUUGAAGGACAAUUGGGUCAUUAUCCAUCAUAUUAUGAACUUUUCAAGCAUACACAUACCAAACAACACGAUGGAGAAACAUUCAUAGUUGAAAAAGCCAAACAAAUUCAUGAACAAGUUGCAACGCAACGGGAGAUGUCGACAGGAACUGGGGAGCAAGUAGAUGAUAAUCAAUUAUAUUAUGAUGUGGCUGGUGGACAUGACAAGAAAAGAAGGAUUUAUGGACUUGGUUCAUAUGGUUGUUCUAUUGUUAACGGUUCAACUAGUGAUAACACUUCUGGCAAUAUGACCCCAACAUCUCGACCACCCGACAAUGCUACUUCUGCAAGUGUACAAGAUGAAAUUCAGAGUUUGAAGGCUAUUAUUCUCCUUAUGCAACAACGAUUUGAUGCUAUUGAUGGCGGGAGAGCGGGUACUUCAUCAUCACCUCCAUCUCAAACCGAUUAUUUUCAAUAUGGAUUGUUGUUUUUUAAGACUAUUACAUUAUUGCUUUGACUUGAAUUGACUAUUAUUAUGUAUUAAAUGUGAUUGGAUAAUGUAUUAUCACUUGAACUUAAUAUGGA